RNAcentral lists this ribosomal RNA (254 nucleotides) under uncultured bacterium. RNAcentral's name for it is "partial 16S ribosomal RNA". It matches the Rfam family "Bacterial small subunit ribosomal RNA", at positions 524 to 777 of the family's 1533-position model. The record is from RNAcentral.
UACAGAGGGGGCAAGCGUUAUUCGGAAUUAUUGGGCGUAAAGGGCGCGUAGGCGGCCAUUCAAGUGACGGGUGAAAGCCCUCGGCUUAACCGAGGAACUGCCUGUCAGACUGGAUGGCUUGAGACCGGGAGAGGUGAGUGGAAUUCCCAGUGUAGCGGUGAAAUGCGUAGAUAUUGGGAGGAACACCAGUGGCGAAGGCGGCAUACUGGACCACCACUGACGCUGAUGCGCGAAAGCCAGGGGAGCAAACGGGG